UACGUAGGGACCGAGCGUUGUCCGGAUUCAUUGGGCGUAAAGAGCUCGUAGGCGGCUAUUCAAGUCGAACGUGAAAUCUCGGAGCUCAACUCCGAAACUGCGUUCGAUACUGGGUAGCUAGAGUCUGGUAGGGGGAUCUGGAAUUCCUGGUGUAGCGGUGGAAUGCGCAGAUAUCAGGAGGAACACCGGUGGCGAAGGCGGUUCUCUGGGACGGUACUGACGCUGAGACGCGAAAGCGUGGGGAGCGAACAGG
RNAcentral lists this ribosomal RNA (253 nucleotides) under uncultured bacterium. RNAcentral's name for it is "partial 16S ribosomal RNA". It matches the Rfam family "Bacterial small subunit ribosomal RNA", at positions 524 to 776 of the family's 1533-position model. The record is from RNAcentral.